Symphalangus syndactylus (siamang) is the source of this 966-nucleotide long non-coding RNA. RefSeq lists it as uncharacterized. The record is from RefSeq and is a predicted model, not a curated record. Lineage: Eukaryota; Metazoa; Chordata; Mammalia; Primates; Hylobatidae.
UGGAGUCCAGUGGUGUGAUCUCAGCUGUACCUCUACCUCCCGGGUUCAAGUGAUUCUCCUGCCUCUGCCUCCUGAGGAGCUGGAAUUACAGGCGCCUGCCACCAUGCCGGGAUUAUCGUCCUCACAACCAGGUGCUGGUUCUCAAGCUGCUCAAGACCUUCUGCGCCACAAAGAGAACUGAAUGUAUAAACUAGAUCUCAUGAAACUCCGCUAAUGUCAGCAGGAAGAGGAGAACAAACACUCUGUGAGCUUCCACCUUUUCCUAAUUCCUUCCCAAGACUUCAAAGUCCUGCAGAUGCUUCUUCUUCUCUUUUGCCAGCUACCCUGUGCCUGGGAAAAGUCCAUGCUUCCAUAAGUCCUCUUGGUGAGUUGUAGGCAUCUCAGCAGAUCAAGGCCUGGAUACAUGAACUAUGAGUGACUCAAUUUGUCCUACAUCCUGCAACACUGACAUUUGGAACAAUUAUGCCUUCGGAACAAGAAUAUUUAAGUUAAAGAAAUUAAUAUGUGAUGGUAGGCCAGGCGCGGUGGCUCACGCCUGUAAUCCCAGCACUUUGGGAAGCCAAGGCGGGCAGAUCACAAGGCCAGGAGAUCAAGGCCAUCCUGGCUAACAAGGUGAAACCUCCUCUCUACUAAAAAUACAAAAAAUUAGCCGGACAUGGUGUCACGCACCUGCAGUCCCAGCUACUCAGGAGGCUGAGGCAGGAGAAUCUCUUGAAGCUGGGAGGCAGAGGUUGCAGUGAACCAAGAUCGCGCCACUGACUCCAGCAUGGGAGACAGAGCGAGAUUCCAUCUCAAAGAAAAAAAAAAGAAAUUAGUACAUGAUGGUAAAAUUUUGGGGAGCACUGCCCCUGAAUGAAGGAGAGAGGGUAAUUUUUGGAUGACAGGAUGCACUGGCUCUUUGCAUGAUGGGCUGAUUGGUUACCUAAUCCCAUGUCUCUUUCCUCUUUCUGCAAAGGCUGCUUGGAC